Molecule: ribosomal RNA, 495 nt
Filed under: uncultured bacterium
Lineage: Bacteria
Description: partial 16S ribosomal RNA
Rfam family: Bacterial small subunit ribosomal RNA
Source: RNAcentral
GACGAACGCUGGCGGCGUGCCUAAUACAUGCAAGUAGAACGCUGAAGGAGGAGCUUGCUUCUCUGGAUGAGUUGCGAACGGGUGAGUAACGCGUAGGUAACCUGCCUGGUAGCGGGGGAUAACUAUUGGAAACGAUAGCUAAUACCGCAUAAGAGUAGAUGUUGCAUGACAUUUGCUUAAAAGGUGCAAUUGCAUCACUACCAGAUGGACCUGCGUUGUAUUAGCUAGUUGGUGGGGUAACGGCUCACCAAGGCGACGAUACGUAGCCGACCUGAGAGGGUGAUCGGCCACACUGGGACUGAGACACGGCCCAGACUCCUACGGGAGGCAGCAGUAGGGAAUCUUCGGCAAUGGACGGAAGUCUGACCGAGCAACGCCGCGUGAGUGAAGAAGGUUUUCGGAUCGUAAAGCUCUGUUGUAAGAGAAGAACGAGAGUGAGAGUGGAAAGUUCACACUGUGACGGUAUCUUACCAGAAAGGGACGGCUAACUACGUG